GACGAACGCUGGCGGCGUGCUUAACACAUGCAAGUCGAGCGGUAAGGCCCUUUCGGGGGUACGACGAGCGGCGAACGGGUGAGUAACACGUGGGUGACCUGCCCUCAGCUCUGGGAUAAGCCUGGGAAACCGGGUCUAAUACUGGAUAUGACUCCAUGACGCAUGUUGGUGGGGUGGAAAGCCUUGUGCGGCUGAGGAUGGGCCCGCGGCCUAUCAGCUUGUUGGGUGGGGUGAGGCCUACCAAGGCGACGACGGUAGCCGGCCUGAGAGGCGACCGGCCACACUGGGACUGAGACACGGCCCAGACUCCUACGGGAGGCAGCAGUGGGGAUCUUGCGCAAUGGGCGAAAGCCUGACGCAGCGACGCCGCGU
Molecule: ribosomal RNA, 372 nt
Filed under: uncultured bacterium
Lineage: Bacteria
Description: bacterial SSU rRNA
Rfam family: Bacterial small subunit ribosomal RNA
Source: RNAcentral